UACGGGGGGAGCAAGCGUUGUUCGGAUUUACUGGGCGUAAAGGGCGCGUAGGCGGCCAGCACAAGUCAGUUGUGAAAUCUCCGAGCUUAACUCGGAAAGGUCAACUGAUACUGUGCGGCUAGAGUGCGGAAGGGGCAACUGGAAUUCUUGGUGUAGCGGUGAAAUGCGUAGAUAUCUGAAGGAACAUCGGUGGCGAAGGCGGCAUCCUGGACCGGUAUUGACGCUGAGGCGCGAAAGCCAGGGGAGCAAACGGG
This 254-nucleotide ribosomal RNA is filed under the name uncultured bacterium. RNAcentral's name for it is "partial 16S ribosomal RNA". It matches the Rfam family "Bacterial small subunit ribosomal RNA", at positions 524 to 776 of the family's 1533-position model. The record is from RNAcentral.